Molecule: ribosomal RNA, 119 nt
Filed under: Pteropus alecto (black flying fox)
Lineage: Eukaryota; Metazoa; Chordata; Mammalia; Chiroptera; Pteropodidae
Source: RNAcentral
GUCUAUGGCCAUGCUACCCUGAACAUGCCCAAUCCCAGCUGAUCUUGGAAGCUAAGCAGGGUUGGGCCUGGUUACUAGUUGGAUGGGAGACCACCUAGGAAGACCAGGUGCUAUAGGCA